GGGCGUUAAGUUGCAGGGUAUAGACCCGAAACCCGGUGAUCUAGCCAUGGGCAGGUUGAAGGUUGGGUAACACUAACUGGAGGACCGAACCGACUAAUGUUGAAAAAUUAGCGGAUGACCUGUGGCUGGGGGUGAAAGGCCAAUCAAACCGGGAGAUAGCUGGUUCUCCCCGAAAGCUAUUUAGGUAGCGCCUCGUGAAUUCAUCUCCGGGGGUAGAGCACUGUUUCGGCUAGGGGGCCAUCCCGGCUUACCAACCCGAUGCAAACUGCGAAUACCGGAGAAUGUUAUCACGGGAGACACACGGCGGGUGCUAACGUCCGUCGUGAAGAGGGAAACAACCCAGACCGCCAGCUAAGGUCCCAAAGUCAUGGUUAAGUGGGAAACGAUGUGGGAAGGCCCAGACAGCCAGGAUGUUGGCUUAGAAGCAGCCAUCAUUUAAAGAAAGCGUAAUAGCUCACUGGUCGAGUCGGCCUGCGCGGAAGAUGUAACGGGGCUAAACCAUGCA
RNAcentral lists this ribosomal RNA (505 nucleotides) under Salmonella enterica subsp. enterica serovar Kentucky. Its description in RNAcentral is "partial 23S ribosomal RNA". It matches the Rfam family "Bacterial large subunit ribosomal RNA", at positions 690 to 1193 of the family's 2925-position model. The record is from RNAcentral. Lineage: Bacteria; Pseudomonadati; Pseudomonadota; Gammaproteobacteria; Enterobacterales; Enterobacteriaceae.